UUUACUAUAGCUUGACACUGAACAUUGAGCCUUGAUGUGUAGGAUAGGUGGGAGGCUUUGAAGCGUGGACGCAGUCUGCGUGGAGCCAACCUUGAAAUACCACCCUUUAAUGUUUGAUGUUCUAACGUUGGCCCUUACCGGGGUUGCGGACAGUGUCUGGUGGGUAGUUUGACUGGGGCGGUCUCCUCCCAAAGCGUAACGGAGGAGCACGAAGGUUAGCUAAUCCUGGU
RNAcentral lists this ribosomal RNA (230 nucleotides) under Klebsiella pneumoniae. Its description in RNAcentral is "partial 23S ribosomal RNA". It matches the Rfam family "Bacterial large subunit ribosomal RNA", at positions 2100 to 2331 of the family's 2925-position model. Lineage: Bacteria; Pseudomonadati; Pseudomonadota; Gammaproteobacteria; Enterobacterales; Enterobacteriaceae. The record is from RNAcentral.